CUGUCAGAGGAAUGAUGUACUAUUAUAGAGCUCUGAAGAUGCUGGCUUUCCUUGAUUCUGCAUCAGAGAUGGAUAUUAAGG
This is a non-coding RNA of Corchorus olitorius, 81 nucleotides long. Lineage: Eukaryota; Viridiplantae; Streptophyta; Magnoliopsida; Malvales; Malvaceae. The record is from Rfam.